Lagopus muta (rock ptarmigan) is the source of this 4713-nucleotide long non-coding RNA. RefSeq lists it as uncharacterized. NCBI's taxonomy places the organism in Eukaryota, Metazoa, Chordata, Aves, Galliformes, Phasianidae. The record is from RefSeq and is a predicted model, not a curated record. The transcript is spliced from 4 exons.
AGGGAUUAUAAGGCCAACGGAUUCGUAACCCUUCCUUGUUGCCGAGUGCAAUUUUGUACACUGAUGAAUCCUGCUUGCUACAAAGCAGGGAAUAAAUGAACUAGACAUUUCCUUCUGGUGGAAAACAUCCUGGUGACAAAAAGAAAGAACAGAGCAUCUCAGGAAGACAUACGGGAAGACAUCUCAGGAGGACAUCCAGUUGUGGGUACACGAAGAGUGAGAAGCCUUUCCCAAGAUGACUCCAGACCUGGAGAAGACAGCGAGUGCCUACCACGGGGGGCUGUACUGGAGAGGAAGACAGCUGCCAAUUCAUUGCCUGCUGGAGCCUCUGGAGGGACUUAGGGAGCCCAGGAAGAUUCCUACUGUGAUUGCCCAUCUCAUGGAUGAUAUCUCUGAACGUAAAAUUUUAAGAUAAGAACCACUGUUUCAUAUACCAGGGAGGGAAUGCCUGUGGAAAAUAUCUGCAGGAAAGCAAAAUGUUCAGCGCCAACUGGAGUCUUGCAAGCCUGAGUGCAUACAGAGGCAAAGUCCAGUUGGGCAUGUGCAAGAAAGGAAGAGCAGAAUCACCAUAGAAUCACAGAAUGGCUGAGGUUGGAGGGGAACUUAAAGAUCAUCCAGUUCCAACCCCCGUGCCAUGGCCUGGUUGCCCCCCACCAGCUCAUGCUGCUCACUGCCCAUCCAGCCUGGCCUUGAAUGUCUCCAGAGAUGGGGCAUCUGCAAAUUCUUUGGGCAGCAUGUGCCAGUGCCUCACCAUCCUCUGAGAACAGAACUUCUUCCUAAAAUCUGUUCAGAACCUCGUCUCUUUUAGGUUAAAGCCACUCUCCCUACUUCUAUCGCUAUCAAACAGUGUUGAAAAGUUGGUUCCCCUUCCUUGUUGCAAGCUCCCUUCAAGUAUUGGAGGGCUGCAACAGUGUCUUCCCGGAGCCUUCUUUUCUCCAGGCUGAGCAAUCCCAAUUCUCUCUGCCUCACCUGAUAGGAGAGGUGCUUCAGCCCUUGGCCCUUCUCUACACUCACUCCAACAGCUCUGCAUACUCCCUGCAUCAGAGAGCAGUAGUCCAUCUACUGGACUGUACUGUAACAUCUGGAGAUGGUUACACUCAAGGGCAGAGCAGAGGAAGACAAUCAUCUUCCUUCUCUGCUGGCCACCCCUCUUUUGGUGUAGCCCAGAAUACUGUUGGGCUUCUGGGCUGAAAAUAAAGCAGAAAAUAAGGCUCCUUUGCACUGAAGAAGGAAAGGAGUGGUGUUGAGUCUCCAAGUUGGAUGGUUAAAAGCUGCACAAAAUAGCAGCUAGCUGUGACUCUUGGUAAGGGCUACAGGCACAGGUGUCAUCCUUGGUGAGUUUAAAGCUGUGAGCCCUCUGCAAAGUGCCCUGGGUGCUUUGUGCAGCUGGGGGUCAGCACAAAGCAAACCAGCAAAGUAUGCAGUGCCACGAGAGCACUGGGCAGGCUGAAGGAGCGUGUGAAAGCAGCAGGGUGAGAAAUUGCAUUCUGUUCUAGUAAGUAAAGGAUAUGGAGAGGGGUGGGCUCACAGGAGUGUGGGCAACUUUCAGACUGAGGAGAAAUUUUCCAAAAGCGUAAAAUUGUAAUUGCGUGAGGAAAGGGUGGUUAAUAAUUUUCCCCUUUUAAUUCAAACGCACUAAAGUUAAUUGCCAUUUGGCAGCCUGAGAUACACAAAUUAGGGGAGGCUAAUUCUGCUAAUCCUCACUCUAAGUUGCAGGGUAUUAAAUACAAACAUGAUCGUCCAGCAAAUGGACAGAUCCUGCCUCUACUGAAACCAGAAGGAGCUCUGACAUUGACUAGAGUAGGGGUCAGGUUAAGCCCCUGGGUGAGCUGUGCAGGUAGGGAUAAUCAGGCUUGGAUGAAGGGGGAAACAAAAGGGUUUUUCCUUUUGCAUUUGGGCCUGGAAUCACUCAGAUUCUCAAAUUCUUCAAACUUGCCCAACCUCCAACCUCAUCACACUUCCCAUUGCAACUGCUUUUUGGCUGCCCAGAUGCCUACAGGCUGCGUUUUCUGUGCUUCUCCAUUCCCCACUUCGUUCUCAAACCAAUUAAAUACAUGCUGGCAAAAAUAUCUCAAAAACCAAUGGCUGUAAUGCAAACUGGGCUAUUUCCUUGAGGAACUUCUUCCCUGUUCAGCCUGCAGCAAUCUGUCUGCUGUCCCAAAUUCUCCACAUGCUGUUGCUACCGUGUGUUAUAUUGCACAUCUGAUUUAAGCCCAGCAAGGCUUUAGCUCAUCCUCUGGUGAGUAAACCCAAGGAGAUCCCACAGGAGCCAAGAAGCAUGCUGCCAGAGGAUGAAUGUUGGGUUCUGAGAUGAGUGGAAGUCUGGCUAUAGGAUGCAGUAUGGGUCUAUGCCUCGCAGCACUGAAGACCUUUGGUUUGGAGCUCUGCCUCUGAGCCAGGAUAAAACCAUUUGCCCAUCUGUGUGAAGUGUCUCUCUACCUGCAUAGCUGAAGUGUAAUUAAAGGUUGAUCCAGUGAACAGGACUUAAUCUCUUAUGGCAUGAUAUAUUUGGGCCAAGCACCUCACUACGACUUGAUUUGAAUUCCUGUUUACAAAUGGCACUAGAUAAAUAGUAAGGAGAUAGUCCAAUCAGAAGUGGGUACUGCUUGGAAACAGCCAUUUGGCUUGAAGUAUUGCAAGAAAAUCAAUGUGGGAUCUCUACAGAGCCGAAUAAGAACAUCAGUCUCCAAAUACAUCUGAUGUGAGCCAAGCCUCCUCAUUUUCAGUUCAGUUAUCACUGACAUUUCAGCUAUUAUUCAUCAGUUUAGAAGGAAAAGAGGAACCUACAUCAUUUGCAAAACCUAUAUGGUCUUUCCAAACAUUUUUCCUGCCUUCCCAGUGAUGAUUAUUACACACUGCUGUAAUUAAGCAGAUUAAUUUACAUUUCCCAUCAUCUGAGGAUGGAGUAGCAACCCAGAUUUAUUUCUCUGGAUUGCUUCCCUCAGUCACUGCUCAUAGCACUGAAGCUGCAGCAGUAUUUUCUCUUUCAAAAAUGCAGCAGCAGAGAUGCUCUGUGAUUCCAAAUGAAAUAAUUUUGAUGUCACAAGAAAUGUCAUUAAAACUACUGCAGUCUUUUAAUAAGCUCCUUCUUAGGAGGAUGGAUUUUCAGCCUCCUCGUGUCAGCUCUGCGCAGAGUAACUACAGCAAAGCUUGGUGCCAGUGUCCCUGUUACAAAAUCUGUUUCUCAAGGGUUUAUAAUUAUAACAUGCCCAUAAAAAUUUACUCAUCUGAAACCCAGGAUAUAGUUUCUCAGACAGAGAGGAAAUAUUGCUCGCUGAACUUGGUUUAAAUCAAUUCCGAGUUUCAAGAAUCCAAAAAUAAUAAGGUUUGUGGGUUUUAUAUGCUCUUUCUGUGGUUCCAUAACUCAGAAAGAAAUCACUUUGUAGAAUAAAGUGUCAUGUUUGUUUAUAAAGCAGAGCAGGGGAGAAGCAGAUAAAAGUUCAGACUUCUUAUAGUGGCUACUGAAAAUCCAAAGAAAAUCAUGUUCUCCAUUUCCCCAUGGUGCCCUCACACUCGAAGCUUGUCCUGACUAGCUGUGAUGAUACACACUGCAGGAUCCCAGCGGGGCUGUGGGCCCCAUCCUUGUAGGUGUAGAGAGCUGCCCUAAGCAGCUGGGGGAGUAAGGGAUGGAAUCACCCACAGCAUUUUUGCCCUUUCCCUCAUUUCCAGCUUACCGCAGUUAGAAGGCAAACGGAAAGUGCCCUCCUAAUAAUUGCUAAUAAAAGCGUCGAUAAACGAUCCCUGCACAACUGAGUUCCAAUGCAUAUUGGCAUCACCAAACGCCUUGCAAUAUUUAGCCUUUAGCUUGUAUCGACGAGGAAAAUAACACUGCUGCUGUACUGAACUAUAGAUGGCAUAAGCAAAGCCCAGCAAGUACAGAAAGACAGAAAACAAGUCCUGUGAAAUCUAAAAGCAAUAUUUUUAAUUUCAUUUGGAAUUCGCAUUCAGGUCAGUUUUGUACAGCUGCACGUCGUUCAGUCUAUCUUUGUCAGCUCUUGCCUAUUAGAAAAAAUAUUGCACUUCUCAAUGUUCUACCUCUAUCAAAUUGACAGGGUCAUUUUUCACAAGGCAAGCUGGAAUUAAGGUGACAUUAAACCAUUUUGCAUACAACAACUAAAGUCGUGCUGCAACAACAGUUAAAAAAAUAGCUGUUUUCUCGGUGUUAUUUAUCAUACCUUUCCAAGGCAGUUUUGGUGAGUUCCUGAAUAUCUGCAGAUUUGCUAGCUUGACAUGAUAUUGCAAGUUUGGAAAUCAUGUUUGCAGUUGUAAUUAUAAUAUUCUCAUUUUCUCAUUCUGCCUAGUAUUACAACUUCUUUAAAGUCAGCCCCUGUAAGGAACACUGUCUGUUUGUCAGAGUGUUAUUUCCACAAAGUAUUUUCUCCUUUGAGGAGUGUUAUUUCCACCCUGCAAUAUAUCAGGUAUUUCAUUCACACAAAAUGAUUGAACAAAUGAUAAAAAGAACUACCUUAUCAAGGAACAUGCUUAUAAGCACAUUCUGCUCUUCCUUCAACUUCAGGCUUUUAGUAUUACUGACUCAGAUCCCAUAUGUAAAGCAAUACACUGAGUACUGUAGGGGUCUUAGAGGAAGUGUGCAUAUUUUCCACAGCUGGCUGAAAUCCAAACGUAUUUCUAAAUCCUAAAGAAAUUCUGCUCAUGAGUCAUCCUUGUAGUGCAGCGUAGGAGAGUGUGGCUGCGUGGGAAGGGGGGGCUCUG